This 901-nucleotide ribosomal RNA is filed under the name Microbacterium sp. Its description in RNAcentral is "bacterial SSU rRNA". It matches the Rfam family "Bacterial small subunit ribosomal RNA", at positions 56 to 965 of the family's 1533-position model. The record is from RNAcentral. Lineage: Bacteria; Bacillati; Actinomycetota; Actinomycetes; Micrococcales; Microbacteriaceae.
UGCAAGUCGAACGGUGAACACGGAGCUUGCUCUGUGGGAUCAGUGGCGAACGGGUGAGUAACACGUGAGCAACCUACCCCUGACUCUGGGAUAAGCGCUGGAAACGGCGUCUAAUACUGGAUACGAGUGGCGACCGCAUGGUCAGCUACUGGAAAGAUUUAUUGGUUGGGGAUGGGCUCGCGGCCUAUCAGCUUGUUGGUGAGGUAAUGGCUCACCAAGGCGUCGACGGGUAGCCGGCCUGAGAGGGUGACCGGCCACACUGGGACUGAGACACGGCCCAGACUCCUACGGGAGGCAGCAGUGGGGAAUAUUGCACAAUGGGCGCAAGCCUGAUGCAGCAACGCCGCGUGAGGGAUGACGGCCUUCGGGUUGUAAACCUCUUUUAGCAGGGAAGAAGCGAAAGUGACGGUACCUGCAGAAAAAGCGCCGGCUAACUACGUGCCAGCAGCCGCGGUAAUACGUAGGGCGCAAGCGUUAUCCGGAAUUAUUGGGCGUAAAGAGCUCGUAGGCGGUUUGUCGCGUCUGCUGUGAAAUCCGGAGGCUCAACCUCCGGCCUGCAGUGGGUACGGGCAGACUAGAGUGCGGUAGGGGAGAUUGGAAUUCCUGGUGUAGCGGUGGAAUGCGCAGAUAUCAGGAGGAACACCGAUGGCGAAGGCAGAUCUCUGGGCCGUAACUGACGCUGAGGAGCGAAAGGGUGGGGAGCAAACAGGCUUAGAUACCCUGGUAGUCCACCCCGUAAACGUUGGGAACUAGUUGUGGGGUCCAUUCCACGGAUUCCGUGACGCAGCUAACGCAUUAAGUUCCCCGCCUGGGGAGUACGGCCGCAAGGCUAAAACUCAAAGGAAUUGACGGGGACCCGCACAAGCGGCGGAGCAUGCGGAUUAAUUCGAUGCAACGCGAA